UACGUAGGGGGCAAGCGUUGUCCGGAAUCAUUGGGCGUAAAGCGCGUGUAGGCGGUUCGAUAAGUCUGCUGUGAAAGUCCAAGGCUCAACCUUGGGAUGCCGGUGGAUACUGUCGGGCUAGAGUGCGGAAGAGGCGAGUGGAAUUCCCGGUGUAGCGGUGAAAUGCGCAGAUAUCGGGAGGAACACCAAUUGCGAAGGCAGCUCGCUGGGACGUUACUGACGCUGAGACGCGAAAGCGUGGGGAGCAAACAGG
Molecule: ribosomal RNA, 253 nt
Filed under: uncultured prokaryote
Description: partial 16S ribosomal RNA
Rfam family: Bacterial small subunit ribosomal RNA
Source: RNAcentral